UACGUAGGGGGCAAGCGUUAUCCGGAUUUAUUGGGUGUAAAGGGAGCGUAGACGGCAGCGCAAGUCUGGAGUGAAAUGCCGGGGCCCAACCCCGGAACUGCUUUGGAAACCGUGCAGCUCGAGUGCAGGAGAGGUAAGCGGAAUUCCUAGUGUAGCGGUGAAAUGCGUAGAUAUUAGGAGGAACACCAGUGGCGAAGGCGGCUUACUGGACUGUAACUGACGUUGAGGCUCGAAAGCGUGGGGAGCAAACAGG
Molecule: ribosomal RNA, 253 nt
Filed under: uncultured bacterium
Lineage: Bacteria
Description: partial 16S ribosomal RNA
Rfam family: Bacterial small subunit ribosomal RNA
Source: RNAcentral